This 195-nucleotide unclassified non-coding RNA is filed under the name plant metagenome. RNAcentral describes it as "partial contains small subunit ribosomal RNA and internal transcribed spacer 1". The stretch from base 1 to 46 matches the Rfam family "Eukaryotic small subunit ribosomal RNA", at positions 1786 to 1831 of the family's 1831-position model. The record is from RNAcentral.
AAGUCGUAACAAGGUUUCCGUAGGUGAACCUGCGGAAGGAUCAUUAAGGAAUUAUGGCUUCGCGGCCAAGUUCUCACCCUUUGUAUACCGAAGCCAUUGUUGCUUUGGCAGGCCCCUGCAUUUCUCGGGCCUGCCAGAGGCUUAAUAAACCCUAGAAUACUCUGCUGUCUGAUUAACUAUAACAAUAGUUAAAAA